RNAcentral lists this ribosomal RNA (501 nucleotides) under uncultured bacterium. RNAcentral describes it as "partial 16S ribosomal RNA". It matches the Rfam family "Bacterial small subunit ribosomal RNA", at positions 30 to 523 of the family's 1533-position model. The record is from RNAcentral.
AUUGAACGCUGGCGGCAUGCCUUACACAUGCAAGUCGAACGGCAGCACGGGUGCUUGCACCUGGUGGCGAGUGGCGAACGGGUGAGUAAUAUAUCGGAACGUACCUUAUUGUGGGGGAUAACGCAGCGAAAGCUGUGCUAACACCGCAUAAUCCCUUAGGGGGAAAGCGGGGGACCGUAAGGCCUCGCGCAAUUAGAGCGGCCGAUACCUGAUUAGCUAGUUGGUGAGGUAAAGGCUCACCAAGGCGACGAUCAGUAGCUGGUCUGAGAGGACGAUCAGCCACACUGGGACUGAGACACGGCCCAGACCCCUACGGGAGGCAGCAGUGGGGAAUUUUGGACAAUGGGGGCAACCCUGAUCCAGCAAUGCCGCGUGAGUGAAGAAGGCCUUCGGGUUGUAAAGCUCUUUUGUCAGGGAAGAAACAGCAGCUCUAACACAGUAUGCGAAUGACGGUACCUGAAGAAUAAGCACCGGCUAACUACGUGCCAGCCGCCGCCGUAA